Molecule: ribosomal RNA, 274 nt
Filed under: uncultured bacterium
Lineage: Bacteria
Description: partial 16S ribosomal RNA
Rfam family: Bacterial small subunit ribosomal RNA
Source: RNAcentral
AUACGGAGGGUGCAAGCGUUACUCGGAAUCACUGGGCGUAAAGCGCGCGCAGGCGGUCUUUUAAGUUGGAUGUGAAAGCCUACGGCUCAACCGUAGAACUGCAUCCAAAACUAUUAGACUAGAGUGUGGGUGAGGAAGAUGGAAUUAGUUGUGUAGGGGUAAAAUCCGUAGAGAUAACUAGGAAUACCAAAAGCGAAGGCAAUCUUCUGGAACACUACUGACGCUGAGGCGCGAAAGCGUGGGGAGCAAACAGGAUUAGAAACCCUAGUAGUCC